CAGUAGCCGCGGUAAUACGAAGGGGGCUAGCGUUGUUCGAAAUUACUGGGCGUAAAGCGCACGUAGGCGGAUAUUUAAGUCAGGGGUGAAACCCCGCAGCUCAACUGCGGGACUGCCUUUGAUACUGGGUAUCUUGAGUAUGGAAGAGGUGAGUGGAAUUCCGAGUGUAGAGGUGAAAUUCGUAGAUAUUCGGAGGAACACCAGUGGCGAAGGCGGCUCACUGGUCCAUUACUGACGCUGAGGUGCGAAAGCGUGGGGAGCAAACAGGAUUAGAUACCCCAGUAGUCCCUGUCUCUUAUAC
Molecule: ribosomal RNA, 301 nt
Filed under: uncultured bacterium
Lineage: Bacteria
Description: partial 16S ribosomal RNA
Rfam family: Bacterial small subunit ribosomal RNA
Source: RNAcentral